RNAcentral lists this ribosomal RNA (1452 nucleotides) under Streptococcus troglodytae. RNAcentral describes it as "bacterial SSU rRNA". It matches the Rfam family "Bacterial small subunit ribosomal RNA". Lineage: Bacteria; Bacillati; Bacillota; Bacilli; Lactobacillales; Streptococcaceae. The record is from RNAcentral.
GACGAACGCUGGCGGCGUGCCUAAUACAUGCAAGUGGGACGCACUGAUUUCACGGGAGCUUGCUCCACGAGGUCAGUGAGUCGCGAACGGGUGAGUAACGCGUAGGUAACCUGCCUACUAGCGGGGGAUAACUAUUGGAAACGAUAGCUAAUACCGCAUGCUAGCUUUUAGCGCAUGCUAGGAGCUUAAAAGAUGCAACUGCAUCACUAGUAGAUGGACCUGCGUUGUAUUAGCUAGUUGGUAAGGUAAGAGCUUACCAAGGCGACGAUACAUAGCCGACCUGAGAGGGUGAACGGCCACACUGGGACUGAGACACGGCCCAGACUCCUACGGGAGGCAGCAGUAGGGAAUCUUCGGCAAUGGACGAAAGUCUGACCGAGCAACGCCGCGUGAGUGAAGAAGGUUUUCGGAUCGUAAAGCUCUGUUGUAAGCGAAGAACGGGUGUAAGAGUGGAAAGCUUAGACUGUGACGGUAGCUUACCAGAAAGGGACGGCUAACUACGUGCCAGCAGCCGCGGUAAUACGUAGGUCCCGAGCGUUGUCCGGAUUUAUUGGGCGUAAAGGGAGCGCAGGCGGUUAGGAAAGUCUGGAGUAAAAGGCUAUGGCUCAACCAUAGUGUGCUCUGGAAACUGUCUGACUUGAGUGCAGAAGGGGAGAGUGGAAUUCCAUGUGUAGCGGUGAAAUGCGUAGAUAUAUGGAGGAACACCAGUGGCGAAAGCGGCUCUCUGGUCUGUCACUGACGCUGAGGCUCGAAAGCGUGGGUAGCGAACAGGAUUAGAUACCCUGGUAGUCCACGCCGUAAACGCUGAGUGCUAGGUGUUAGGCCCUUUCCGGGGCUUAGUGCCGGAGCUAACGCAAUAAGCACUCCGCCUGGGGAGUACGACCGCAAGGUUGAAACUCAAAGGAAUUGACGGGGGCCCGCACAAGCGGUGGAGCAUGUGGUUUAAUUCGAAGCAACGCGAAGAACCUUACCAGGUCUUGACAUCCCGAUGUUAUUCUUAGAGAUAAGAAGUUACUUCGGUACAUCGGAGACAGGUGGUGCAUGGUUGUCGUCAGCUCGUGUCGUGAGAUGUUGGGUUAAGUCCCGCAACGAGCGCAACCCUUAUUGUUAGUUGCCAUCAUUAAGUUGGGCACUCUAGCGAGACUGCCGGUAAUAAACCGGAGGAAGGUGGGGAUGACGUCAAAUCAUCAUGCCCCUUAUGACCUGGGCUACACACGUGCUACAAUGGUCGGUACAACGAGUUGCGAGCCGGUGACGGCAAGCUAAUCUCUGAAAGCCGAUCUCAGUUCGGAUUGGAGGCUGCAACUCGCCUCCAUGAAGUCGGAAUCGCUAGUAAUCGCGGAUCAGCACGCCGCGGUGAAUACGUUCCCGGGCCUUGUACACACCGCCCGUCACACCACGAGAGUUUGUUACACCCGAAGUCGGUGAGGUAACCGUUAAGGGGCCAGCCGC